UUUAGUAAAUAUUUAUAUUUAUUAAAAUGACAUAUAAAUUCAUUGAAACUUUAAAUAUCAUGGCAUUUAAUAUGCUAUUGAAUGUGUCACUCUCAUAAUUAUCAUAUGAUAAAUAGUUUUUAAGUAAAAGAUUUCAACACUUUCAAUUGAUUUUAUACUUAAUGAUUUAAAAAUAAAAUUUCAAAUUUUAUAAAAAUUUUAUGAAAAAAUAAUUUUUUUUUAAUCUUUUUUAAAAUCUUUUGAAUUCUUUUUAUAGAAUCAAAUUUUUAAUUUUUAAUAAUAUUUUUUUAUAAGUUGAUGAUUUAAUUUAAUAUUUUUACCUACUUUUAUAUAUAACAAUUUAUAAAUUACUUAGUAUCCUUAAAUAAUAAGGAGGAUAUCAUAUUUUUCAAAUAAAUAAAUAAUUUAUUAUAAUAUAAAUAAAUAAUUUUACCCCUUUAAACCAAACUUUCUGACUUCACCACUGCAUUGCAUCAUCAUGAAAAGACAUCAUCAAAAAAUGGAUCCAAAAAUAUUGUUUUUUCUAAUUGAAAUUUCAAAUAAUAUCUUAUUCUUGAAAAGAACGUAAAACCAUUUUUAAAAUUUAUUCUUGUAUUCCAUUUUUCUAUUUUAUUUUUCUUUUCCCUGUAGCCGCAGCCCACAAAUUAGAUUUUACUUUUAUCUACGACCCACUAGCCAUUUUUCUAUUUUAUUUGUUUUUGUCCUUCACUCUUCUUCAAACUUCUUGAAGUGGCUUAAAUUAGACCAUGUUUUUUUUUUUAUCUUCUUAAAAGAACAUACGGAAAGGACCUUGAAUUCCAAUAUCCACCAUCAUCUGCCAGCCAUGUUGCUUUGAAUACUCCUCCCUACAUCGGAAUUUAGAAGAUGGCUCUUGCUGAAUUUUGAGAGGCAUUUGAGUUGUGAGGUGGAGGUGGAGUGGCAAAGGUGCCAUUAAAUGGCGUUCAAACGCACCUAAAUCAAUUAUGGUCAUGUAAAAGUCGAUGUUUUGCAAUAUUCACUAAUAGUUAUGCAAGGUACGUAGUGCUGCAAGAGCCAUGGAAUCAGAGUGAAAGGCACGUUUGCUUUUGCAAUGUACAACAAAAACGCACUUCUAAGCCUCACACUCAGGAUGAUUCUAUAUUAGAGUGCAGAGUCCGUUCCAGGGAGCCUCACACCCAGGAUGAUUCUAUCGUAGAGUGCAUUUAACAGUACUUUUACUUCUAAAGUUCCAUUAAAGAGUGUUUCCACGAGGUAGAACCUCCUCAGGGAAUAUAAGGUUUUCAUGAAGCUGAUCUUGAGCCGCCAUCCAAGCAAGAAUACCUUC
This 1303-nucleotide long non-coding RNA is filed under the name Vitis vinifera (wine grape). RNAcentral describes it as "long non-coding RNA (VVIN_LNC003558)". The record is from RNAcentral. Lineage: Eukaryota; Viridiplantae; Streptophyta; Magnoliopsida; Vitales; Vitaceae.